RNAcentral lists this ribosomal RNA (253 nucleotides) under uncultured bacterium. Its description in RNAcentral is "partial 16S ribosomal RNA". It matches the Rfam family "Bacterial small subunit ribosomal RNA", at positions 524 to 776 of the family's 1533-position model. The record is from RNAcentral.
UACGUAGGGUCCGAGCGUUGUCCGGAUUUAUUGGGCGUAAAGAGCUCGUAGGCGGUCUGUCGCGUCUGCUGUGAAAAUCCAGGGCUCAACCCUGGACCUGCAGUGGGUACGGGCAGACUAGAGUGCGGUAGGGGAGAUCGGAAUUCCUGGUGUAGCGGUGAAAUGCGCAGAUAUCAGGAGGAACACCAGUGGCGAAGGCGGAUCUCUGGGCCGUAACUGACGCUGAGGAGCGAAAGCAUGGGGAGCGAACAGG